This 753-nucleotide ribosomal RNA is filed under the name uncultured Glomeraceae. RNAcentral's name for it is "SSU rRNA". It matches the Rfam family "Eukaryotic small subunit ribosomal RNA", at positions 338 to 1092 of the family's 1831-position model. Lineage: Eukaryota; Fungi; Glomeromycota; Glomeromycetes; Glomerales; Glomeraceae. The record is from RNAcentral.
GGCCUACCAUGGUGGUAACGGGUAACGGGGUGUUAGGGCACGACACCGGAGAGGGAGCCUGAGAAACGGCUACCACAUCCAAGGAUGGCAGCAGGCGCGCAAAUUACCCAAUCCCGACACGGGGAGGUAGUGACAAUAAAUAACAAUACGGGGUUCUUUAGGAUCUCGUAAUUGGAAUGAGUACAAUUUAAAUCUCUUAACGAGGAACAAUUGGAGGGCAAGUCUGGUGCCAGCAGCCGCGGUAAUUCCAGCUCCAAUAGCGUAUAUUAAAGUUGUUGCAGUUAAAAAGCUCGUAGUUGAAUUUCGGGGUCAGCAGGUUGGUCGUGCCACUGGUAUGAACUGGUUUCGCUGAUUCCUCCUUUCUGAAGAACUGUAAUGUCAUUAAUUUGGUGUUGCAGGGAAACAGGACUGUUACUUUGAAAAAAUUAGAGUGUUUAAAGCAGGCUAACGCUUGAAUACAUUAGCAUGGAAUAAUGAAAUAGGACGUUCAAACCUAUUUUGUUGGUUUCUAGGAUUGACGUAAUGAUUAAUAGGGAUAGUUGGGGGCAUUAGUAUUCAAUUGUCAGAGGUGAAAUUCUUGGAUUUAUUGAAGACUAACUACUGCGAAAGCAUUUGCCAAGGAUGUUUUCAUUAAUCAAGAACGAAAGUUAGGGGAUCGAAGACGAUCAGAUACCGUCGUAGUCUUAACCAUAAACUAUGCCGACUAGGGAUCGGAUGAUGUUAAUUUUUUAAUGACCCAUUCGGCGCCUUACG